This is a long non-coding RNA of Epinephelus moara (kelp grouper), 1071 nucleotides long. RefSeq lists it as uncharacterized. NCBI's taxonomy places the organism in Eukaryota, Metazoa, Chordata, Actinopteri, Perciformes, Serranidae. The record is from RefSeq and is a predicted model, not a curated record. The transcript is spliced from 3 exons.
GCUACGCAGCUUGGAUCCUAUCCUGUGGAGCCUGAGUUUCGCGUCAGCAGCGUGUUUGGCGUGGCUGUGUUGGAUCCACGUGGCUGUCUUGAGGGGUCCAUGUCAUUGGUUCAACAGCCCAUUGGUUCGACAUCCCAUUAGUCCGACUGUCCGUGGUGCUGAACGGCUCGCGGCGGGCGUAUGGUGCGCCGCGACCGGCUUGAGGCAGAGCAGGCUCACGGCUUAUGUGUUUGUCACUUUCUUUUUCAUUUUAACCCACACCAUGAUCUUUUCCUGACCCUAACCAAGUGGUUUUUGUGCCUAAACCUAACCAGACCUUAACCACAGGGCAUCAUGAUGAUUUCGGAACGGACUUCGGAACAAUGAGUUUAAUAUGGUCGGAACAAUGGGAUGUUGAACCAAUGGGCUGUCGAACCAAUGGGCAGUUCCCGUCUUGAGACGCUUGUUGUCGGACUUCCUCCGUUCAUUGUUGCAGGUAUGUUCCGAUGAGCUCGCUGCCUUUCUGGGUCAUAUUGGUGGCAUGUCUGAUGCACUUUCUGCUUUCCAGCAGAGUUAGCUUGUAUUCAGGCCGGAGGUUGGGAGUCGGGAGUGUGCGGCCUCGGAGCUGUGCGUAAUAAUCCACGCGCUGCGUUGGAUUCCUGAGUUAAGCUGCAUCCUUUUGCCGCUACCUCCCCUGUUGCCUGCAAAGCUGAGCCUUAACUUACAGGAGCUGUUUGGCCGGGGUGUGCGAGUGACUGACUGAUCCCCGCAGUGGUGGUCCCUUCACUUCCUGUACAGUAGUGUACUUGGGUGUCAUUCAACGGUGUGGUUUUUUUUCUUCACGUGUGGUGUGUAGCGUCAGGACCCUUCCCCUUCCCCUCAGUUAGUCAUCUCUGCCUGGUGAGCCCUCAGCCCUGUGCCAAUUUGCUGCACUUUAUUAGCAAACUUAACCAAACCACUAGGAGGCCUUAAGGGAUUGUGCAAUAUUCGGCCACUUAUUAUUAUAUUCUUUGUUUGCCUCACCACCAAGCGAUUUUGUCCAAGGUUGGGAAUUUUAAAGUGUUGUUAAUAAAACUUUCUUGUGUAUAAAUU